Neolamprologus brichardi is the source of this 880-nucleotide long non-coding RNA. RefSeq lists it as uncharacterized. The record is from RefSeq and is a predicted model, not a curated record. NCBI's taxonomy places the organism in Eukaryota, Metazoa, Chordata, Actinopteri, Cichliformes, Cichlidae.
CCAAUCAGCGCACCGCCGCCAGACAUCAGAGUGAGUAUAUAAGAACAGCGGGCCUUGCUGCUUUCUCUCUUCCUCCUGUAGUCUUCCAUGCGAGCGGAAGUCCCCAAGAAAGAGCUAUGGGUCUAUUUGAAAUGGCAGUUCAACCUUGUUUCCCAAUAUGCAGAAUGCAAGUACUGGGCGACACCAAAGGUGCAAGGCCAAAACCAUCAAAUGAGAACACAACAUGCAGGUGAAUGGAGACCUGUCGUUUGUAAAUGAAAACUGCUCAUUCAGGCGUCUAUCCGCUUGACCUCUUGGUGUUGCAGAGCUGUAACGAAGUGCAUUCACAUCUGUAAUUUUCAGGUAUGGUGCUACGUUGGGAGUGUCGUGACAUUUCCAUGACAGAAUUGCUGCCAACUUUCCGGCUAGGUACAAACACUACUGAAGAAAACAACUUUGAUCGGAGCUUUCUUGCAGCUGUGAAAUGCAUGAAUCAGUUGACCUGGCUCUUUAACCUCCUAAGACCUGAACUUUUUCAUGGCAUGCAUUUUUAAUUUCUCUUUGAUAUUUGGGCUGAUUGGGACCUGAUGAAUGUAAAAACAAAGAAUUGCCAGAUUUUUUAUUUUAUUUUUAAACCUAAUUUGUUUCCAAGAAAAAUUAGAGCCACAGAUGAGGAUAUUUAUAUAAAAUCUAAAUAGAACAGUAGCAGUACAAUGUCCUCGUAAGUGGAUAUCAGGUCCUUGUAGCACAACAUUGAGUAUUUUGGUCUAAAUAAGCCAAAAUGUGACUUCCACAUAUGUGGACGCCAGGUCCUAGGAGGUUAAGGGCUGAACCUAAGAAAAUGAACCCUGUGUGUGACAAUUGCAGAUUGUAAUAAAACUGACUUGACUACCUCUGGAAA